RNAcentral lists this ribosomal RNA (253 nucleotides) under uncultured bacterium. RNAcentral describes it as "partial 16S ribosomal RNA". It matches the Rfam family "Bacterial small subunit ribosomal RNA", at positions 524 to 776 of the family's 1533-position model. The record is from RNAcentral.
UACAGAGGGUGCGAGCGUUAAUCGGAAUUACUGGGCGUAAAGCGCACGUAGGUGGCGACGUAAGUCGGGUGUGAAAGCCCCGGGCUCAACCUGGGAAUUGCAUUCGAGACUGCAUUGCUGGAGUACGGAAGAGGAAGGCGGAAUUCCCGGUGUAGCGGUGAAAUGCGUAGAUAUCGGGAGGAACAUCAGUGGCGAAGGCGACUCGCUGGACAGACAUUGACGCUGAGGUGCGAAAGCGUGGGGAGCAAACAGG